CGACCUCUUCCACGCGUCAUUCUCCACCAGAGUGGCUCGCUUGUGAGCGUGCUGGCAGGAUAUGGCAGCAUCUUCGGUUGUGCAUCAAGAAUUCUGCAUAGCAAGUUUGUAUGAAGGUCUGCUUAUUCACAGGCAAAUUGUUGUAUGCUAUGGAGGUACAUUUGUGGCUUUUUGUCGAGAGCAAAACUUUUUUAUUUUCUAUCAAAAAUAAUUGUUUUGAAAGCAAAAACGAGGCUUCAAAGUAGAACAACUUUUUUGCAAUCAAAUAUUUUGUAAUAUAGCGCAAAACGUUAUGCAUUUUAUUCAGAUAAAAUAUUUAGAGAAUUUUUUUUAAAUUUGAAAACAAAACUUUCGCUAUCAACACCGUCCAUUUUGGCCAUUUUUUGAAUGUCAGUUUGGCUACAACCAAUACUGUUCAGCCUUUCUUUCCGACACAAAGGAAGUCAUAGCGGACACCUACGAAGGACUGUGUGAUGAUGGCAUCUCAGAAGGAUGGAAGAACAUAAUAUGUCUGUCAGGGAAUGCUAUUCUGAUAUGUCAGAUGAAGAGUUUGACCAGAAAGUCGGGGCCAUUAAGGCGAGGAUGUCCCAUGUGGGCUUUACAAUGGUCAAAGAAGUCUCCAAGCAAUGGGCCAUCGUGUACAAUGGCGAAGAGUUAGGGAGUCUCUGCAGCGUGUAGAUGGUGCAGGUAUCAUUGCCAGAAUAAUCCAGCUUUGUUGCAUUGCUCGGCAAAAAUACUCUGUUCCUGCUCUCCUGUCUCUCGUCCACAUUGAUACAAAUCAUAAAUUGAUAAGGUACAACGUUGUCAUCUUUGGCGGAAUAUAUAGAUUUUCAAGGAAGAGUGCGAGCUGAUCAAGGGUUAAAAAUGUAGAUAUUGCCGAAUGUAUGUUCACUGUCCGAGGAACAGGCCGUGGAAGCUUUAUUGCUGGGUAAAGUGUCCAUAACCAGAGUGGAACACUUAUGGAGAGAUGUUUGGAGUGCUGUGGCAUGUCAGUACUACACCUUGCUGCACAGUGUAGAGCAAGAAGGAUACCUUGACCUGUCAAAUUCUAUCCACCUCUUCUGUGUGGGAUAUGUGUUCCUGCCUCGUCUGCGGGCAGAUCUGCAGCAUUUCACAGAGAGUUGGAAUAAUCACCCUUUAAGUACAGAGGCGAACCUGACACCUCACCAGCCGUUGCCUUAGCACUACACAACUGAUUCAAAUGAUCAAGUCAUCAUCAAGCUUCAAGUGGUAUUCAUGUAUUAAUUUGUGAUCUGGUAAUGUACAAGUCUAAUAAUGACAUUAUCUUCUAUUGUUUGUACUCAUGCGUCUGUUUUACAGCAUAAAGUACUUUGCAGCCACGUAGUGUGGAUACCAGGUUAUAUCAGCUGUGUUGGUGAACCCCUCCCGCAUCUGAACUGGCUGACACAGAGGGCACAGCAUGAUCAUAGGUAUGUUUUGAUGUGAGAGAGGAAGCCAGUCCCGUCAUCGCCACCUCACAAGAUAACCUUCGACCUGACUGGGAGCCCAAGGCUGGUUAGCAGACACCGCUAGAGACACUAUGUAAUUGUGAUGAACUGAGAGAAUAUUAGGGUAGCACUGUAAAAUCAUUAAUCAUAUGCUGUUUUCCCUGUUCCUCUGUUGUUCCCCUUUCCUUUCCUGUCUUCUACACCCCCCUCUCUCCCCACCUCCUCUUUCUUCCUCUUUUGUUUAUAAUGCACACCGUAUGUGCAUUGAAGAACAGAUUGAACUUGUAUUUAUGAUAUAGUAUUACAAUUAUAAUAUUUAUAAUGCAUGUAUUAUGUAUUUAUAACACCUGGAUAAUGAACUUUCAAUAAAGCGUUUCACAUUC
This is a long non-coding RNA of Oncorhynchus nerka (sockeye salmon), 1831 nucleotides long. RefSeq lists it as uncharacterized. The record is from RefSeq and is a predicted model, not a curated record. The transcript has 7 exons. NCBI's taxonomy places the organism in Eukaryota, Metazoa, Chordata, Actinopteri, Salmoniformes, Salmonidae.